Molecule: small nucleolar RNA, 132 nt
Organism: Arvicanthis niloticus (Nile rat)
Lineage: Eukaryota; Metazoa; Chordata; Mammalia; Rodentia; Muridae
Product: small nucleolar RNA SNORA17
Source: RefSeq, a predicted model, not a curated record
CCUGCACCUAGAGGCAUUGUCGGUGUGGCUGUUGUGUCACAUGUGUGUCAGUAGGUGGCAGAGAAGAGAGAGGCUAUGUCUAUGCUCAGUGUUCUGACCUGUGAACAUCUGAAUGACGAGAAGCCCAACAUU